GAGUUUGAUCGUGGCUCAGAUUGAACGCUGGCGGCAUGCCUAACACAUGCAAGUCGAACGGUAACGCGGGGGCAACCCUGGCGACGAGCGGCGAACGGGUGAGUAAUGCAUCGGAACAUGUCCAUGUCGUGGGGGAUAGCCCGGCGAAAGCCGGAUUAAUACCGCAUACGCCCGAGAGGGGAAAGUGGGGGACCGCAAGGCCUCACGCGAUUGGGUUGGCCGAUGUCCGAUUAGCUAGUUGGCGGGGUAAAGGCCCACCAAGGCGAUGAUCGGUAGCUGGUCUGAGAGGAUGAUCAGCCACACUGGGACUGAGACACGGCCCAGACUCCUACGGGAGGCAGCAGUGGGGAAUUUUGGACAAUGGGGGCAACCCUGAUCCAGCCAUUCCGCGUGAGUGAAGAAGGCCUUC
This 409-nucleotide ribosomal RNA is filed under the name uncultured beta proteobacterium. RNAcentral describes it as "bacterial SSU rRNA". It matches the Rfam family "Bacterial small subunit ribosomal RNA", at positions 9 to 419 of the family's 1533-position model. The record is from RNAcentral. Lineage: Bacteria; Pseudomonadati; Pseudomonadota; Betaproteobacteria.